CCAAGGUUUGCUCCGAGCACUUUGAGAAGCAGUGCUUUGUAAAGACCGCCCGUGGUAUCACAAAGCUUAUAAAGGAUGCUGUGCCAACUUUGUUCGCCUGGACUUCAGAGAGGCCAAAGAGGAGAAUCAUCAUUCGCAGACCGAGUACGGAUUCCAUGGAGGUGGAUGAAAACCAGCCUGAUGAGAACCAACCUGAUGUGAGAAGGGAUGCCUUGAGCACAGAUGUACCUCCUCCACACCCGUACCAUGAUUAUGCUGUUCCACCGCUGACACCAGAGGAACAACUUGAGGCGGCUCGCAAGCACAUCAUUGAGCAAGACAAGUUAAUAGCACAACUUAAAGAUAAAGUGUUCAGUGUGUCAAGAUUCCAGUGUGAUGAUGGUCAGAUGUCAUUUUACACAGGA
Engraulis encrasicolus (European anchovy) is the source of this 404-nucleotide long non-coding RNA. RefSeq lists it as uncharacterized. NCBI's taxonomy places the organism in Eukaryota, Metazoa, Chordata, Actinopteri, Clupeiformes, Engraulidae. The transcript has 3 exons. The record is from RefSeq and is a predicted model, not a curated record.